Rhea pennata is the source of this 345-nucleotide long non-coding RNA. RefSeq lists it as uncharacterized. The record is from RefSeq and is a predicted model, not a curated record. Lineage: Eukaryota; Metazoa; Chordata; Aves; Rheiformes; Rheidae. The transcript is spliced from 3 exons.
UAAGGAGAUCCAAGCUUUUUGUCCCAUGAUUCAGCAUAUUUAUAGUCCUUAGGAUUGCAACAUGAAUCUGAAAGGUGCAAAGAGCAAGGAGGCAAAUGAGAACAACUCUUCAUAAACUGCUAUUAAAAAUGUCAUGUGCAGCUAUAGACAGACUGCUGUAAAGGCCUGAAUUAUCAGAGUAGUAACAAGCCUCCCAUUCACUGCUUCAGAGAGGGCAGGAUGGAUCCCUCAAACUGAGUCAUGGCUGGAAGAGACCAUCCAGCAAACUGCAGCAAGAAGAGCUCCAGGACCUCACAUCAAAGCAUCGUUCCAGUGUGUUCACCAAAAUUUUAGUGCAGCAAUAAA